AAGGCUCAAAUGAACUAAAGGGACGAUAAGACCCUAUAAAGUUUUACAUUAAUUUUUUGAAAUAUAAGUUAUAAGUUUAAAAUUAAUUAAAAAUGAAAUGUUUACGUUGGGGCGACAAAAAUAUAAUUAAUAUUAACUGUUUUAUUAAUAGGGCCAAAGGUGUUUGGGUAGAGGACUUUUUAUUAAAGUGGUAGAGUAAGUUACUUUAGGGAUAACAGCGUAAUUUUUUUUAAGAGUUCUUAUCGACAGAAAAGUUUGCGACCUCGAUGUUGAAUUAAAGAGUCUUUACAGCGCAGAAGCUGUAGGAGAAGGUCUGUUCGACUUUUAAAUCUUUACAUGAUUUGAGUUCAAACCGGACCC
This 360-nucleotide ribosomal RNA is filed under the name Virilastacus retamali. RNAcentral's name for it is "partial 16S ribosomal RNA". The stretch from base 211 to 360 matches the Rfam family "Bacterial large subunit ribosomal RNA", at positions 2473 to 2627 of the family's 2925-position model. The record is from RNAcentral. Lineage: Eukaryota; Metazoa; Arthropoda; Malacostraca; Decapoda; Parastacidae.